GGGGCUACGUGUCGGAUCCUGGGUGUAAGGGAGCGCAGGCGGGCUUUCAAGUCGGUGGUGAAAUCUUACAGCUUAACUGUAAAACUGCCUCCGAUACUGUAAGUCUUGAGUGUGGAAGAGGGCGAUGGAAUUCAUGGUGUAGCGGUGAAAUGCGUAGAUAUCAUGAAGAACACCGGUCGCGAAGGCGGUCGCCUGGUCCAUUACUGACGCUCAUGCUCGAAAGUGUGGGGAGCAAACAGGAUUAGAUACCCUGGUAGUCCACACCUUAAACGAUGAAUACUUGGUGUCGGGUCGAAAGGCUCGGUGCCAAAGCUAACGCAUUAAGUAUUCCACCUGGGGAGUACGAUCGCAAGGUUGAAACUCAAAGGAAUUGACGGGGGCCCGCACAAGCAGUGGAGCAUGUGGUUCAAUUCGAUGCAACGCGAAGAACCUUACCUGGGUUUGAAAAGCAAGAUUCUAGUCCCUGAAAGGGGAUUACCCGCAAGGGGUCUUGUACAGGUGCUGCAUGGCUGUCGUCAGCUCGUGCCGUGAGGUGUUAGGUUAAGUCCUGCAACGAGCGCAACCCCUACAUUUAGUUGCCAUCAGGUAAUGCUGGGCACUCUAAAUGGACUGCCUACGCAAGUAGUGAGGAAGGUGGGGAUGACGUCAAGUCCUCAUGGCCCUUACACCCAGGGCCACACACGUGCUACAAUGGCCACUACAAAGGGCUGCAAUACCGCAAGGUGGAGCCAAUCCCAAAAAAGUGGUCUCAGUUCGGAUUGAGGGCUGCAACUCGCCCUCAUGAAGCUGGAAUUGCUAGUAAUCGUAGAUCAGCACGCUACGGUGAAUACGUUCCCGGGCCCUUGUACACACCGCCCGUCAAGCCAUGGAAAGCUGGGGGUACCCGAAGUCACUGUCCGAACCCGCAAGGGACGGAGUGCCUAAUGUAAAACUAGUGACUGGGGCU
This 946-nucleotide ribosomal RNA is filed under the name uncultured bacterium. Its description in RNAcentral is "bacterial SSU rRNA". It matches the Rfam family "Bacterial small subunit ribosomal RNA", at positions 531 to 1482 of the family's 1533-position model. The record is from RNAcentral.